RNAcentral lists this transfer-messenger RNA (407 nucleotides) under Porphyromonadaceae bacterium W3.11. It matches the Rfam family "transfer-messenger RNA". Rfam says of the family: Bacterial tmRNA, also known as 10Sa RNA or SsrA, is named for its dual tRNA and mRNA-like properties. Its role is to liberate the mRNA from a stalled ribosome. The record is from RNAcentral. Lineage: Bacteria; Pseudomonadati; Bacteroidota; Bacteroidia; Bacteroidales; Porphyromonadaceae.
GGGGAUGACAGGUUUUGACAGCACGUAGAGGUGGUCUGUAAGCACGUAGUGCAUUGUUGUACUGGCACUUAAAUCUUAGGCUUCGACCAAUUUAACUGGCGAAAAUAAUUACGCUCUUGCAGCUUAAUCGAAUAAAGUAGAUUAAUGCUCUUUCGCUUGAGCCAUAUGGCUCGCGGCAAGACAUCACCCAGAUACCGGGAUCCCGAGGUGGUCUGAACUGGUGGUGUAGAUAUAUCGGGAAGGGUUAGUAACUGACCUCUUGUUGCUAACGACAGUCACAGAGGAUAAGCGUUUGGGACGGUAGCUUUGGCCCCACCCAUAUGCCGACAAUUAAAGCAAAGAUAAACGUGUAGAAAGCGGAUUAGUUCCGUGUUUGGACGAGGGUUCAAAUCCCUCCAUCUCCACUU